AUUGAACGCUGGCGGCAGGCCUAACACAUGCCAGUCGAGCGGAUGAAGGGAGCUUGCUCCUGGAUUCAGCGGCGGACGGGUGAGUAAUGCCUAGGAAUCUGCCUGGUAGUGGGGGAUAACGUCCGGAAACGGGCGCUAAUACCGCAUACGUCCUGAGGGAGAAAGUGGGGGAUCUUCGGACCUCACGCUAUCAGAUGAGCCUAGGUCGGAUUAGCUAGUUGGUGGGGUAAAGGCCUACCAAGGCGACGAUCCGUAACUGGUCUGAGAGGAUGAUCAGUCACACUGGAACUGAGACACGGUCCAGACUCCUACGGGAGGCAGCAGUGGGGAAUAUUGGACAAUGGGCGAAAGCCUGAUCCAGCCAUGCCGCGUGUGUGAAGAAGGUCUUCGGAUUGUAAAGCACUUUAAGUUGGGAGGAAGGGCAGUAAGUUAAUACCUUGCUAUUUUGACGUUACCAACAGAAUAAGCACCGGCUAACUUCGUG
RNAcentral lists this ribosomal RNA (484 nucleotides) under uncultured bacterium. Its description in RNAcentral is "partial 16S ribosomal RNA". It matches the Rfam family "Bacterial small subunit ribosomal RNA", at positions 30 to 507 of the family's 1533-position model. The record is from RNAcentral.